Molecule: long non-coding RNA, 1561 nt
Organism: Eriocheir sinensis (Chinese mitten crab)
Lineage: Eukaryota; Metazoa; Arthropoda; Malacostraca; Decapoda; Varunidae
Exons: 2
Source: RefSeq, a predicted model, not a curated record
GUCAAACAUGGGUUAGAUGAUGGUAUUGCUCAACAAAAAUAUCGGGUGAUGAAUAUGAAAACUAAGGAACUGCCUUGUAUAGGCUCAAUGGCCAUUUGAAGACUCUCUACUUCCAUGUGUGUGUGUGUGUGUGUGUGUGUCGAAGACGGACCGGCCGCCGCCAGUCCUCGCCACAUUACCCUGAGCCUGCGGGGAGGUGAGUCGUGUUUAAUCAGGAAGAUUUCACAGACUUGAGAAAGAUAAUCUCGAUUCGUGCCGUAUUGUGCGUCACGUGUGAAAAUCACAUGUGUACGGGUGUUACGGUAUUUUUGUCAGUUUUCUUAUAAUUCAUCAUUGCAGAGAAACCUUGGUGUUACACACAGUUGAGUACGCCAGGCAGUGACCACUAGAAAAGGGCCAUGAAGGAGCUGAAGGAUUUUGAUAAUUACGAGGACUACGUCGAUUUUAUCUUUGAGGAGGAUGAAAAUUCAAUUUAUGGCCCAACGAUGACUUGGACCUAAAUUGCUUUUGAAAGCAUUUUCCUAAUUUCCAUUCUUGUGUUCCUCAUAGUCUUCCUCAACAAAAUUUUGUGGCUUGUGUGUUGGCCAUGUCGUCGAGUCUACAGAUAUUAUCGACCUGCUCGGUGCAAGAACAAAAUCCAAGAAAACCGGGAAGCGUCAGUGAAGCGAUCCCUUGGACCCUGGCAAAGGCUGGGUUCAAUGGGGCGCGACAUGGCGAUGCAGACCAUCCAUCAUAGUCUACCGAAUGCCCGUUUCGGCCCUGUCAGUUGGUUUGUCCUGAGCCAACUUCCUAAACUUACUGCAGUUGACUGACCAAACAGACUCCACAAAAACAGAUUCCUGCAAUGACUGCACCGUUUCUGCCCUCGGCCGGUCCAGGGAUGACACGGGGUUGUCUACAUUUUAGCCAAGCCCAAAGCCAGACGUGACAACAGCGCGGAGCAAUUGUGCGUUGCCCCGGGUUGGAGUCGUGCUAGUUUUUCUCUUACUUUAAUGUUUUUAAUUUAACUUUACUCCCAUGUUGAGGGGAAACUUAACCUGAUCAAUUUUUUGCGCAUUUUAAGUUUUUAAUUAUAUUAAUACUUACGCCCGAUACAGCAUGUUUAUUCGGGCUCAGUUUUGUCUGAGUUGGGGCUCUACCAUUUACUGGUUGCUGAAGUUUAUUUUGAAGAGUAUGGUACGUAAUAACUUUCCAUUUAAAAGUCUUUUUAAAGAACUGAAAAUGAGGCUUUUUAAAGAACUGAAUAUAUAUAUAUUUUUUUUAAGAACGGUGUGUUAAAGUUUUUAGAAUUAGGAUUAACUUAUAGUUUAAGCGGAUUUUUUUUUUUUUAAGAACGGUGUGUUAAAGUUUUUAGAAUUAGAAUUUAACUUAUAGUUUAAGCGGAUUUACUAGUUGUAUUGAAAUUGAAGAAACGUAAGUUGAGAUAGUAGGGAUCGGUAGGGAGCGGCGUGUGUUGAGCCACGCACUCCUUGCUCAUCACCUGUGCGGGUUCUAAGUACAAGACGGCUGAUGCAGAUCCUCAGUCAUCACUCGCUUUAAGUACAAUAAACUAAAAGAUAUG